AAAGCAUUCUCUUAGGACUUUCAAAAAGCUACUAACUAUUCAUAUAACAUAUGUAAGUUAUUACUUGCAUUUACAUUUUUCAUCAACCUUACUUCCUUUAUCAUACUAUUCCAUUGUUUAACCCACUUUAAUUAUUUUUCAGGGAAUAUAAAAUGACACAGCGACUUGGUAUAUAUGCAAUCACUCCUGAAAUACCAGACUGGACGUGUAAAGUGCAAGUUGUGGAUAUAUGCAAACCAGGAGAAGGUUCUCACCGAAAGAUAAAAUAUUUGAACAUGAUCUUUCAAGAUGAACAGGAAAACCAAAUAAAAGCUAUUGUUUACGGUGAUGAAAUCUCCUCUUAUCAAGAUAUAUUCAAGCUGUUCCACACCUAUGUGCGUGCAUACAAGUACCAAAUUUGAGAUAUGAAUGACCCUUGCAUACAUUUGAGUGGAUUAUUGACAAAAAAACCAUAGUUGAUCCAAUUGAAAAAGAUAGUCCAGAUGAGGAUGAAUUGCCACUGCCCACAAAGCUGAAUCUUACAUCAUUGGAAGACAUCAACAAUCAGGCCUCCCAGUCUACCAAAGAGCAGCCUAAGGACGUCGGAUUUAGUAGGGUUCUAUUACUUCUUUUUAGUUUAACUUUUGACACAUUCAUCUAUUAAAUACAAAUUGUUUUGCCAAUAGAUAUACUCGCAAUUGUUGUUCGCUGAUUUCCGCCAAGGCUUGUUGCAAAAGUCCAGAAAAGAUUGCAAGAACUCAUUCUCAUCGAUACUGACAAACAAGCUUUGACCUUCACACUAUGGGAAGAAACUAUUAUUGAGGACGAAGGCAGGAAACUCCUUGACCAAUUCAAAAAACGUCCUAUUAUCUUUGCCAGGCGUAUUGGGGUAUCCAAGUACAACGGUACAUCGUUGACAACAAAAUUUAACACCAGAAUACAAAUUGAUCCCCCUUAUUCCCAAUGCCUACAAUUGCACACAUGGGUCACAUAAAACAAAGAAAUGCUUGCUUCUUUCAGUCUGAGGAGCACAUCUGAAUCUGGAUCUCUUAUCAGCGUUUCAGUAGAUGAACAAAUAGUCCCAAUUGCAAAUGUUAAAUCACAACAGGACGGGCAUUCCUUCUCUAUUGACGGAAAAGUAUCACUUCCAAAUAAACUCAAAAGUUGCUAUGUUUUACUAUGUCCCAACUGCAAACAAGAAGUCAGAAGUUUAAUAAAAAGAAAGUUUCUGUGUAUGACUUGUAAGCAACGAAAUAUGUUAAUUCCCAGGUGCAGAUUUGAUGUAAAUCUCCAAGAUGCUUCCGGAUCAAUAAUUGAGAUAAUUAUGGACAAAGAAGCAGAAAAAUUAUUAUCCCUUACCACAAAUUAGAUUUACGACCUUGCUUCAAAUGAGGAUGACUUGCUACCAAUGCAAAAUAUUCAAAGCAAGCUAAAUCAAAACUUUUACAUAAUUCAAGUGAAAAAAUCAUUCUCCCGCACUUCUCAAGCAACAUCUGGAAAAUUGUACAUUUUGUCUUACACUGAAAAAGGAAAAACGGUGCAUUCUCUCCCUGAAUCACCAAAAACUGACAUUGAAGAAGGCAACAAAAGGAAAAAGAAACAUUUAGUUUCUUUUGAUGAAGAAACAGAAGUACCAACCGAGCGACGUCACUCGCUCAAGCUGAAACAAAAACUGGAGCCAACAACGCUAGUAAAAAAUAAAUAAAGGUCACCACAAAAUUCUCUUUCUUAUUCCUUGUAUGGAUAUAUUUAUAUUAUAUCUUUAUACCCUCUUUCAUUCUUUCUGGUAAACACAUUUGCAGGAUAACCUUUUUUUGCAAUCACUUUUGCGUUUUGCGGAACUAAGUUCUUUUGUAGGGAAAUCAAUUCUCUUUUGAAGCUUGCUUUUGACUUUUUGUCUUGCAACUACAUGUUCCAACAACAUAUACAUCCAUCAAACAAAGG
Molecule: long non-coding RNA, 1923 nt
Organism: Lycium barbarum (goji berry)
Lineage: Eukaryota; Viridiplantae; Streptophyta; Magnoliopsida; Solanales; Solanaceae
Exons: 9
Source: RefSeq, a predicted model, not a curated record